This 253-nucleotide ribosomal RNA is filed under the name uncultured bacterium. RNAcentral describes it as "partial 16S ribosomal RNA". It matches the Rfam family "Bacterial small subunit ribosomal RNA", at positions 524 to 776 of the family's 1533-position model. The record is from RNAcentral.
UACGGAGGAUCCAAGCGUUAUCCGGAAUCAUUGGGUUUAAAGGGUCCGUAGGCGGUUUGGUAAGUCAGUGGUGAAAGCCCAUCGCUCGACGGUGGAACGGCCAUUGAUACUGCCAGACUUGAAUUAUUAGGAAGUAACUAGAAUAUGUAGUGUAGCGGUGAAAUGCUUAGAGAUUACAUGGAAUACCAAUUGCGAAGGCAGGUUACUACCAAUAUAUUGACGCUGAUGGACGAAAGCGUGGGGAGCGAACAGG